Molecule: ribosomal RNA, 514 nt
Filed under: uncultured bacterium
Lineage: Bacteria
Description: bacterial SSU rRNA
Rfam family: Bacterial small subunit ribosomal RNA
Source: RNAcentral
AACGCUGGCGGCGUGCCUAAUACAUGCAAGUCGAACGGUCUUUCUAUGGAAGCUUGCUUCCACUGAGAAGAUAGUGGCGAACGGGUGAGUAACACGUGGGUAACCUGCCCAUAAGAGGGGGGAUAACAUCCGGAAACGGGUGCUAAUACCGCAUAGUUUUCUUGAUCGCAUGAUCGGGAAAGGAAAGACGGCCUUUGUGCUGUCGCUUAUGGAUGGACCCGCGGCGUAUUAGUUAGUUGGUGAGGUAACGGCCCACCAAGACGAUGAUACGUAGCCGACCUGAGAGGGUGAUCGGCCACAUUGGGACUGAGACACGGCCCAAACUCCUACGGGAGGCAGCAGUAGGGAAUCUUCCGCAAUGGACGAAAGUCUGACGGAGCAACGCCGCGUGAGUGAAAGAAGGUUUUCGGAUCGUAAAACUCUGUUGUCAGAGAAGAACAAGUUGGAGAGUAACUGCUCCAGCCUUGACGGUAUCUGACCAGAAAGCCACGGCUAACUACGUGCCAGCCGCCGC